Non-coding RNA from Pantherophis guttatus, 834 nucleotides. NCBI's taxonomy places the organism in Eukaryota, Metazoa, Chordata, Lepidosauria, Squamata, Colubridae. The record is from RefSeq and is a predicted model, not a curated record.
GAUUAUUGUCCUACAUUUUGCCUUAAUUUCCUUCUCUCAUAUGGAUAAUUAUUUUUAUUUAGCUUUCUAUAUGUGUCAAACAAGAAAUCUACAGUAUGUAUAUUACAAAGAAAAACUACGUAGAUUUGUGAUUCAAAGGGACUUCUUCCAUGAUGACAAAGCAGAAUUGCAGCUCUUUAGGUAGGACCUAAAGAGGCAGGACUUUCAAUUCACAGCAUUAUAAGCAAUCAAUUGAAAAAGCUGAAGAUGUGCUGAACAAAAAAUAGCUGGCAGCAGUUUGAUUUGAUUUCAUAAUAAGACUUCCUGUAAAAGAACCUGUGAAAACAUCAUUUGCAUGAUUGCAUCCUUGUGUGAUACAAUGGAAAGUUAUCUUUUCAGGACUGCCGAUGGAAGCGCAUGGCACCGUGCGAGUGAAAACGCUUUCCGAUGGUUUGCUGAUUCACACUGACUAAGAUAGCUGGCAGGAGCAACAACACAUCUAAUGGCAUCUGGAGCCAGAAACAGUGGAGCUUUCCCUAAGUCCACCUGCCUCUCGAUGUCCUCCACUCUUUAUCUUGCUAAAUCAUAGUCCAUCUUGCUAAAGAUAAUAAUAUCCCAAAGGAUCCCAGAUAUUUCUAAGUUCGUGAAAACCAAACUACCAUAUUUUAGAAGACUGAUCGAUUUCAAGAGAUUUGUGAAUGCUACCCAAAUUACUCUUUGAAUGUAGAAAAAUGGCAUCAAUUGGAGUUUCUGUUCUCAUGUCUGAUGAAUUCGUUUUAUUCCUGGAAUGCAGCUGAGGAGGACAAGGUUGGUUGGAAUGUUCCUUGAAUUAAAAUCAGAAUGAAUCCAAUUGAA